RNAcentral lists this ribosomal RNA (186 nucleotides) under Streptococcus canis. RNAcentral's name for it is "partial 23S ribosomal RNA". It matches the Rfam family "Bacterial large subunit ribosomal RNA", at positions 1 to 191 of the family's 2925-position model. Lineage: Bacteria; Bacillati; Bacillota; Bacilli; Lactobacillales; Streptococcaceae. The record is from RNAcentral.
GGUUAAGUUAAUAAGGGCGCACGGUGGAUGCCUUGGCACUAGAAGCCGAAGAAGGACGUGACAAACGACGAAAUGCUUUGGGGAGCUGUAAGUAAGCGCUGAUCCAGAGAUGUCCGAAUGGGGGAACCCACUAACUAAUGGUUAGUAUCCAUAACUGUUGAGGUGGUGAGAAGGAGGACGCAGUGA